UUUUUUAAGUGCCUCAUAUCUAUAAUUUAUUGCAUAUAAUUGAGAUCGUAAUUUGAAUGAAAAUUGAUCUAUUUUAUCUUUAACAGCUUUGAGAUCACUGUUUUUUUAAACUCGUUUCCCACCUUCCAAUAGUGAUGCCAUUGAGAUAAUUAUCAAAUUAGCACUCAUAUGCAUAUCAACGUUGUAAUUUAAUUUUAAAAAAGUAGCUUUGCAUUGUUUGUAUUAACGACCCUUUAUUGCUUAGCGUUAUACUGUUUAUAAAAUGGCUGCUGCAUCCCUCCUCAUUUCUAUCUUGACAGAAUGAGACAGAUGGCAUCAUGUCUCAUUUCGCUAUGUGCACAAUCAUUAACAGUAUCUGCUUGCCUUUAGGUUAGCCACAUAGGUUUGCCAGGUUUGUACUGUAACUUCCAGUGGGAGAAACAAAAGAGUCCCCUCUCAUUCAUUUACAAAGUGGUGCUUUGUAGCUUCAUACGAUUAAUUAACAUACUACCCAGCGCAGUACAAGGCUGACAUAGUUCAGGUGCACAAAUAUGCUGCAGUGUAGAACGGAAUAUGCACAAACAUUUUUUCACGGAAGCAUAAUUCGUCACUGCUGGGAGUAAUCAAAUCUCAAACGUAAAUAAGGUGAUUGCUAAUUUGCAAGUAAACAAUCGUUUCGUAGCAAAGUUAGGCAAAUUUCCAACGCUCAUAGCGGGAAACUGGAUUUCCUUCAAAAUAGUCCCGUUGGUAACAAAAAGCUUAAAGAGGCACAGGCUGACCUAUUAUGCUCAAAAUUAAAACCGUGGUAAAAUGGCCAGCAUCGUUAGUAUUUUCGCAAGUGUGUUUCAUCGAAUAUUUUGAUGGUGUGAAGUAAGGAUGUGUGCUGUAGCUGCGUCAGCCUGUUUGAGUGUGAUGUAUUCAUUUUGCAGUUGGCUGUUGCAGCCUGUAUUGCAGAGCUUAUGACCUGCUUUCACAUGCAGCAGAUUCUCCCAUAAAUUCUGAUUCAUAUCCAGCAGCUGAAUCCUGGGUCUUGCUGGAUAUUUCUUAUUCGCUUUGUUUCGAAUUUGUCGCCUUCAGCUGAAUAAACUUCACGAAGCUGAUGUCUGGCCGAUCUGUGAGGAUAAUAACAAGAAGGGGACAUUUCCAAAUCUGAUCUAAAGGUGGCUUUUCCGCAUCCAGGUCCUCCAAACAGUACUCAACCAACACCACCAUCAGCAGGAAGGAGAUUGAUACAUUCGGAAAUGGAAGAAAUUUCGUAUGAUCUAAGAAAAAAG
Molecule: long non-coding RNA, 1253 nt
Organism: Pristis pectinata (smalltooth sawfish)
Lineage: Eukaryota; Metazoa; Chordata; Chondrichthyes; Rhinopristiformes; Pristidae
Exons: 4
Source: RefSeq, a predicted model, not a curated record